CCCCCACGGUCCACGGCCCCACCUCACCCCCUGUUUCCCCGCCCCAGCCACUCCGCCACCUCAUCAUGCUCCUAGCCCCUUCUCAGCACCAUCUCUUCCCCUCGCGAAGCACCCACCAUUAUCCCUGCCCCUGCCACCCUGCCCCUGCCCAGAGAAGGGGAGACGAGAUUACGGAACAUUACCGCCAUAUUCCAGAAACUCCCAACGAAGGUGGAUACCAGAAACUCUUCGAAUCCCCUUACAUAAAUAACCUCUUCCUUUAUCCCCUCACACUGUGGUUUGAGAUUAAACGACUUUCAAGUCUCAAUUGGAGAAAACGAUCGAUUCUCGAUUCAGGUGGGAAGUGUCUUUCUUGAUUUCGUUUGUCUUUGAUUUUCCUAACAAGGGUGCCAUCUACAAUGGCGGAUGCUCACAUGGAAGAAACCGAGACUUUCGCCUCUCAGGCCGAGAUUGAUACCUUCACGAUGUCUUCAAUAAACUCAAGAUUACAAAGCACAUUGAAGUGAACAAGCUAGUGGAGGGAAGAUCCCUUGAUAACCUGGAGCUCAUGCAGUGGAUGAAGAGAUACUGUGAUUCCGUCAAUGGCGGACUUCUGCACAAGUAACUCUCAUGUCCUCUGUGUUUGAGUACUUCUUUAGGCAUUGAGAUCAAGAAAACCAAAGAGAUGACAUAUGUGAUGGAUGUCAGUAUAUCCAUGCGGAAGAAUAACCACUCCAUUGCACCAGAGAGAUGAAAUUUGGGCCGGGAAUACCUAUCCACCAGUUUGAGGUAGCUUCGUUGCCAAAUUUAUCUCACUACAGGCUAAGCCCUACAGAACAUGAGGAAUUGCAACAAAAAUUUUCUGAGUUGUUGGACAAGGCUGUAUCAGAGUCUCAGUCCUUGUGCCAUACACACACUAUUUGUUCCUAAGAAGAAUGGUAAGUGGCGUAUGAUCAUCGAUGGUAGAGCGAUUAAUAAGUCACUAUUAAAUAUUACUUUCCUAUUCUGAGGUUGGAUGAUUCGUUGGACCAAUUGUUGGGCGAUACACUACUUUCUCUAAACUGGAUCUCAGGAGUGGCUGUCAUCAGAUCAGAAUCAAAGCUGGAGAUGAAUGGAAGACAGCAUUUAAGAUGUGAGAUGAUUUGUACUAGUGGCUAGUUAUGCCAUUUGGAUUAAUCUAAGAUGAUCACAGUUGUCAAAUAUUUUUUUUCUGGGGAGGUUUGUUGUUGUUUACUUGGUGACAAUGUUAUUUAUAGUUAAAUUAUUAAUAAUCAUUUACAACACUUUGAUGAGAUGCUGACAGCUUUAGGCAAGGUAAGUGUCUACACCGUGACUGAGAAAGCUACUUCUUGGUGACUCAAAUUCUAUUCUUCUGAUAUGUGGUUUCUGGCUACAGUAUCUCUGUGGACAAGUCUAAAAUCAAGUGAUUCAAGAUCAGCUUACUACUACCAAUAUUCAUGGGGUUCACAGUUUUCAUGGCCUGGCUUCUUUUUAUCGAAGGUUUAUUUCUCAUUUUAGCACUUUUGCUGCCCCUCACUGCUCAUAUAAGGAAGGGGGCAUUCAAAUGGACUUCUGUAGCACAGGAAAGUUUUGAGCAGCUGAAGAUGAAGUUGAGUACUCCACUUCUCCUUGCACUACCCAACUUCGAUAUUGUGUUCAAGGAGCACUGUGACGCAUUUGAGUAUGGAUAUUAGAUUGGUACUAAGCCAAGCAGGGCAACCCAUAGUGUAUUUCAGCAAGAAGCUCAGCGGUGCUGGACUCUGUUACAGGACCUAUGACUUGGGAGUUUUAUACCGUCUUUUGAACUCUUGAACAUUAGAGUCAAUAUCUUAUUCAUAGGGAGUUCAUUCAUUAUAUUGACCAUGAGGCACUGAGAUAUAUUUUUGGACAGAAGAAUCUUAAUUCUCGCUAUGGUAAAUGGGCAGAAUUUAUUGAAAAGUUUUCUUUUGUCAUCAAGCACAAAGCCGGUAUUCAGAAUCAGGUAAUAGAUGUUUCGAGUCACAAGCGCACCUUGCUUUAUUCUAUGCACAUUAUAGUACUUAACUUUGAAUCUUUCCGGGAGUUGUAUUUUGAGGAUCCUUAUUUUGCAUCUAUUUUAGAUAAAGUAAGUUCUAAAUUACACACUGAUUUCACUGUUUGUGAGGAUUUUUUCUUCAAAGGAAAUCGUCUCUAUGUAUCUGAUUGCUCUUAGCAACUAAACAUUAUUUCUGAGUUGCAUCGUGAAGGAAAUUUUGUUUCUGA
Long non-coding RNA from Macadamia integrifolia, 2220 nucleotides. RefSeq lists it as uncharacterized. NCBI's taxonomy places the organism in Eukaryota, Viridiplantae, Streptophyta, Magnoliopsida, Proteales, Proteaceae. The transcript is spliced from 4 exons. The record is from RefSeq and is a predicted model, not a curated record.